This 480-nucleotide ribosomal RNA is filed under the name uncultured bacterium. RNAcentral describes it as "partial 16S ribosomal RNA". It matches the Rfam family "Bacterial small subunit ribosomal RNA", at positions 28 to 523 of the family's 1533-position model. The record is from RNAcentral.
GACGAACGCUGGCGGCGUGCUUUAUACAUGCAAGUCGAACGAUGAAGUUCCUUCGGGAAUGGAUUAGUGGCGAACGGGGGAGGAACACGUGAGAAACCUGCCUUUCAUUCUGGGAUAACAACGGGAAACCGGUGCUAAUACCGGAUACUCCGUCUUGGCGGCAUCGCCAAGCCGGGAGAAAAAUUUGAUGAAAGAUGGUCUCGCCACCUAGCAGCUAGUUGGUGAUGUAAAGGCUCACCAAGGCGACGACGGGUAGCCGGCCAGAGAGGGCGACCGGCCACACUGGGACUGAGACACGGCCCAGACUCCUACGGGAGGCAGCAGUAGGGAAUAUUGGGCAAUGGGCGCAAGCCUGACCCAGCGCCGCCGCGUGAGGGAUGAAGGUCUUCGGAAUGUAAACCUCUUUCAGUAGGGAAGAAGCGAAAGUGACGGUACCUAAAGAAGAAGCACCGGCUAACUAUGUGCCAGCCGCCGCAGUAA